Molecule: ribosomal RNA, 478 nt
Filed under: uncultured bacterium
Lineage: Bacteria
Description: partial 16S ribosomal RNA
Rfam family: Bacterial small subunit ribosomal RNA
Source: RNAcentral
GACGAACGCUGGCGGCGUGCUUAACACAUGCAAGUCGAACGGUAAGGCCCUUCGGGGUACACGAGUGGCGAACGGGUGAGUAACACGUGGGUGAUCUGCCCUGCACCUCGGGAUAAGCCUGGGAAACUGGGUCUAAUACCGGAUAGGACCACUGCCUGCAUGGGUGGUGGUGGAAAGCUUUUGCGGUGUGGGAUGGGCCCGCGGCGUAUCAGCUUGUUGGUGGGGUGAUGGCCUACCAAGGCGACGACGGGUAGCCGGCCUGAGAGGGUGACCGGCCACACUGGGACUGAGAUACGGCCCAGACUCCUACGGGAGGCAGCAGUGGGGAAUAUUGCACAAUGGGCGCAAGCCUGAUGCAGCGACGCCGCGUGAGGGAUGACGGCCUUCGGGUUGUAAACCUCUUUCAGCACCGACGAAGCGCAAGUGACGGUAGGUGCAGAAGAAGGACCGGCCAACUACGUGCCAGCAGCCGCCGUAA